RNAcentral lists this ribosomal RNA (301 nucleotides) under uncultured bacterium. RNAcentral's name for it is "partial 16S ribosomal RNA". It matches the Rfam family "Bacterial small subunit ribosomal RNA", at positions 509 to 809 of the family's 1533-position model. The record is from RNAcentral.
CAGUCGCCGCGGUAAUACGUAGGUGGCAAGCGUUGUCCGGAAUUAUUGGGCGUAAAGCGCGCGCAGGCGGAUCGGUCAGUCUGUCUUAAAAGUUCGGGGCUUAACCCCGUGAUGGGAUGGAAACUGCCAAUCUAGAGUAUCGGAGAGGAAAGUGGAAUUCCUAGUGUAGCGGUGAAAUGCGUAGAUAUUAGGAAGAACACCAGUGGCGAAGGCGACUUUCUGGACGAAAACUGACGCUGAGGCUCGAAAGCCAGGGGAGCGAACGGGAUUAGAUACCCGCGUAGUCCCUGUCUCUUAUACA